UAUAAAAUAAAAAAAAAACACAAUCCUAGCUCAUUCAAAGAAACAAUAUACGGCGCUCUCAUCUCCCUUCUAUCUCUCCUUCGUCUCCGACAACGCCGUUCUUCCCUCUAGGGCUUCUCCUCUCUCCGCCGGUUACGAUCUCUCCAGUGCUGUAGAGACGAAGAUUCCGGCGAGAGGCAAGGAUCUGGUGGCUACUAACCUCAGUGCAUUUCAAUUCCAGAAGGCACCUAUGCCCGCAUUGCUCCACGAUCGGGUCUUCCGUUGAAGCAUUGGAUUGACGUUGGUGCGGGGGUGAUUGACGCCGGUUGGGGUGAUACUGUUCAACCAGUCGACGAUCUCAGAAAAUUGCUCGAAUUCGACUCGACGGUUAACAUUCUCGUUAACUUGGCCGGUGUUCUUGAUAGCAAGUACUCGACCAUAGCCAACAUUGCAGUGGAGGAUUUUGAUCACAUUUUCAGAAAAGAAUGAAAGAAAAAAAGUAAUAAUAUCUCCUCCAAAAUGGAACAGAUGCGCCUAUUCUGGUUCUCUUACAAGUGGAGUAGGAAUGCCAAUACAAAGUGCAAUUUUGGGGAAACCAUCAGAAUUUUCAUUAAUGCAAUUUUGAAGGAAGAUACGAUCUAGUGAGAUUCAUGAAGAUAAUACAAAAAGCUGGUCUCUAUGCUCAUCUUCGCAUUGGUCCUUAUGUCUGUGCUGAAUGGAACUUCGAGUACAAUACGUUCUCCCCCGAUACGGUGAACAAGAUGCCUAGAACAGAUCUCGUUGAGGAGAUUUUUAGACUACAAGCUGCACUGGGUGAGCAGACACAAGUUACAAAGUUUAGCCAAGAGGAGUAUGAAAGGCUUCAAAAUUCAUGAGAUGAAAAAUCUUGCAGUGAUGAAGAAAAAUACUUUCCAGAGAACUAGUAGGCAUAUGACAGAAACUUUUUAGGUAACUGCCAUAAUAUUAUUGUUCAUCUUCCUCAGAAAAUGGAGGUUCGGAUCAAGAUCCUCUACACUUCAAUAUGUCAUACCGAUCUAGCAUGUUGGAAAGCUAAGAAUGAAGCUCAGCGCGCUUUUCCUCGGAUUUUUGGCCAUGAAGCUUCCGGAAAGCUGUGUUGAAGUUGGAUUUACACAAUGACAAAACCAAGCAAAAAACUAUGAAAAUUGUCUCUGGCAUUUCAGGGGUUGAAUCAGUAUCUGUGGACAUGAAGGAGAAGAAAAUGAGUUUAAUUAGUGAAAAUAGCACUUAUUAGAUGAUUUAAAUACAUUAUUAGAUAUUAAUAUAGUUUAGGGAAUUGGAUGGUAGAUUUUUUAUUGCAAUGUUUGUAUUUUAGUAAGUUUAGUAAGACAAGGUUUUGCAUAGGAGUUAUUACUUUUGAUUUUCAAUAUAAAAAAUUAUAUAUUAUA
Molecule: non-coding RNA, 1385 nt
Organism: Arachis ipaensis
Lineage: Eukaryota; Viridiplantae; Streptophyta; Magnoliopsida; Fabales; Fabaceae
Source: RefSeq, a predicted model, not a curated record